RNAcentral lists this unclassified non-coding RNA (164 nucleotides) under uncultured Ascomycota. RNAcentral describes it as "sequence contains ITS1". Lineage: Eukaryota; Fungi; Ascomycota. The record is from RNAcentral.
CCGAGUUUACAAACUCCCAACCCUAUGUGAACCUUACCAAUCGUUGCUUCGGCGGGCUUAGCCCCCGCGCCGUCCGCGGCGCCGGGAAACAGGCGCCCGCCGGGGACCCCAAACCCAAUGUUUUCAUGCAGUAUUAUCUGAGUGGCAAACGCAAAAAUAAAUCA